UACGUAGGUGGCAAGCGUUGUCCGGAUUUACUUGGCGUAAAGGAUGCGUAGGCGGACAUUUAAGUCAGAUGUGAAAUACCCGAGCUUAACUUGGGUGCUGCAUUUGAAACUGGGUGUCUAGAGUGCAGGAGAGGUAAGUGGAAUUCCUAGUGUAGCGGUGAAAUGCGUAGAGAUUAGGAAGAACACCAGUGGCGAAGGCGACUUACUGGACUGUAACUGACGCUGAGGCAUGAAAGCGUGGGGAGCAAACAGG
RNAcentral lists this ribosomal RNA (253 nucleotides) under uncultured bacterium. Its description in RNAcentral is "partial 16S ribosomal RNA". It matches the Rfam family "Bacterial small subunit ribosomal RNA", at positions 524 to 776 of the family's 1533-position model. The record is from RNAcentral.